Molecule: long non-coding RNA, 423 nt
Filed under: Elaeis guineensis (African oil palm)
Lineage: Eukaryota; Viridiplantae; Streptophyta; Magnoliopsida; Arecales; Arecaceae
Description: long non-coding RNA (EGUI_LNC046526)
Source: RNAcentral
UGAUGGAUUUUUCUCUCUCUAAAGUUAUUCCUCUAGGAUUAGCAUAGUGUAAGGCUUCAUUUGAUGAUUUUGAUCGAGUUUAGGGAAGAGUCUGAUUUUAAGUGAAGUUUUGAUUUGGGACUUGUUUAGAUUUAAUUUUGAAUUAAAAUUAAUAUAAAAAUAUAAUUUUGGAUAAUAGUCACGGAAGAAUCUCCUAGAAGUUAGUCGAUCUGUUCAUUCAGUGCUCUGUGAAAGGUAAGUAAUGAAUCAUCUUCUCGAGAUAUUUCAUAUUUAUUCUGAAAAUAAAUAAUUAUUCUCUGAAAUUAUGCAUGAUUUAUGAAAUUAUGUUUUGAAAGAAAAGUGCUUUUGAAAUAUUAUGGUACGUCGAUUAUGCACACGUUCAGUGAAAAAUUAUGAUAUAUUAUGAUACAAAGUGUUUGAUAC